RNAcentral lists this ribosomal RNA (254 nucleotides) under uncultured bacterium. RNAcentral describes it as "partial 16S ribosomal RNA". It matches the Rfam family "Bacterial small subunit ribosomal RNA", at positions 524 to 776 of the family's 1533-position model. The record is from RNAcentral.
UACGUAGGUGGCGAGCGUUGUCCGGAUUUACUGGGCGUAAAGAGCGCGCAGGCGGUCGUUCAAGUCGCGUGUGAAAGCCCCCGGCUCAACUGGGGAGGGUCACGCCAUACUGAUCGACUCGAAGGCAGGAGAGGGUAGUGGAAUUCCCGGUGUAGUGGUGAAAUGCGUAGAUAUCGGGAGGAACACCAGUGGCGAAGGCGACUACCUGGCCUGUUUCUUGACGCUGAGGCGCGAAAGCUAGGGGAGCAAACGGG